GGGGGUGUAGCUCAGUUGGUUAGAGCGCCUGCCUGUCACGCAGGAGGUCGCGGGUUCGAGUCCCGUCACUCCCGCCA
Molecule: transfer RNA, 77 nt
Filed under: Candidatus Paracaedimonas acanthamoebae
Lineage: Bacteria; Pseudomonadati; Pseudomonadota; Alphaproteobacteria; Holosporales; Caedimonadaceae
Also listed under: 10 other names
Description: tRNA-Asp
Rfam family: tRNA
About the family: Transfer RNA (tRNA) molecules are approximately 80 nucleotides in length. Their secondary structure includes four short double-helical elements and three loops (D, anti-codon, and T loops).
Source: RNAcentral